Molecule: long non-coding RNA, 36160 nt
Filed under: Coffea arabica (coffee)
Lineage: Eukaryota; Viridiplantae; Streptophyta; Magnoliopsida; Gentianales; Rubiaceae
Description: long non-coding RNA (CARA_LNC004079)
Source: RNAcentral
UUUUUUUUUUUUUUUUUUUUUUUUUUGGUCAAUUAGCAACACCACCCUAUUCGCGUGCUAAUAUAUUAUUAUAUAUAUAGUAGAAGAAACUUUCAGAUUUAAGUCAAGGGAGCUAAAGAUAAAAAGGAAAAACUUUCAGAUUGCACCCAUUAGAUUUAAUUACAAUUGUAAAGAAUUUUGGAUUUAAUUCUUUCUAGAUUUAAUUACAUCUGCAAGGGAUUCUGAAUUUAACUUGCUCUAGAUUUAAUUACUAUUAUAAGAUAUUUUGAAUGUAGCUGUUAACGUGCGAAUUUUAUGUAGUCACAAUUAUAUAUUUCUUAGUUGUGAAAAAAAAAUGAAUUUUUGAAAAUAGAAUAUUGUCAAGUGCUAGCACCACUUGAGUACAGGGUAAGAAGGCACACUUGAGACGAGCCAAUCUUUUUAUUUUGGCCAAAGAUUAAUUGCCAAAAACUGAAAAUUCCCGCAAAUAGCAAAUAACAUAGGGUUGCAUUCAUAACUACCCCAAUCCGUUGCCAGAGAAAAGGUGACCAAGAAAAUUCUUGUAAACAAAAGGGUAAAAUACCAAAAAAAGCUCCACGUGAUUUGAUAAAUAUUCAAUUUAACUCCCUCUGAUUUAGAAACCUAUACUAUAACUCUCUGCGAUGUUGACUAAAUUGAAAGAUCCAAUCCAACGAUUGUGUGUGAAAUGUAAAUAUUGCCCCUGUUAUAUGUAAGAUGCUUUCUAUUCAAUUUUUAAUUUAGUCGAAAUCACAGAAAUUUAUAGUAUAAUUUUUUAAAUUAAAGGGAGUUAAAUAAAUAUUCGACAAAUCAUAGAGAGUUCAUUUAUAUAGGGGUCAUAUUGACAUUUCACGUAUAAUCGUUAGAUUGGACACUUUUAGUCCAAUUUUUAAAUUAGUUAAAAUCACGGAGAGUUAUAGUGUAAGUUUUCAAAUUAGAGGAAGUUAAAUUAAACAUUUAAUAAAUCACAAAGAAUUUUUUUUGUAUUUUAUCGUAAACAAAAAAGGCUUUACAUUUACUAGAUAUAAGCAUAUCCUUGCCUUGGCAAGCCGCGCCAACUUGUUUUUUCUGGAUUUUGACUCAAAUACGCAGCAAUGGUAACUUUUUUGUCCUGAACGUUCAAUUCAACUGAGCAAGAGGCUAGGCAUACGAUCAGGAGCUUUUCAAAGGGAUGUCUAGAAAAGGAACAGACUGUUUUAAUGAUGCUCCUAAUAAUUGCUGAAGCAAAAUUUGCUUAGGACUAAUAUGGGCUUUGGGCAAUUAAGAAUUUUAUGAUUGCCCCUGCUCUGAAUUAGGCCCUCUCCAUUCCCUCGUUAAAAUCCUGCACCAACACUUUUCUUCUCCCAAGCCAUUUUCAAUUUUCCGCUGCAACAAGAUAAAGUGAUAAACCUCCGUCCCAAACCCCCCUUCUCCCCCAGUUCAAAGUCCCCGCGCGCAGCCCCUUAUCUAAUUGCCGUUCAAGGUAUAUUUUUGCUCUGACCUCUUCUUCUGUACUUGUAUAGUGUCUUUUUUACUUAUCUGGAUAUGCAUGUAAGGUGAAGAACACUAUUUUGGUGAUAUGUGCAAUUAGACAUGUGAUAAACGUUCAGCAAAAUUUGUAUGGGUCUAUGGAGUAACUGAAAUAAGCCCUCUUGGGUUUCCUCUCUUGGCUGUGCUUGCUUACUAAAAAGAUUGAAUUUUGAGGCUGUGGAAACCAGUAAUUGUAGUCCAUCUCUCGUUCACUGAGAUAAAUUAAAGGUCAGCUGUCUUUUCGGCUGCUUAAUUGAAAUAGAGUAGGAAAAGAGAUAAAUUUAUAUCAACAGUUGCAAUCUGCUAAAACUGAAUUUGUGAAUUUACUGUCAAGGGCUGGAGCAAAGCUGAAAAACUACGGAAUUUGAGUAUGAUUGAUUAGUUUGUUGACAAACUUUACUGGGUACUAGGUAACUAAAUUGGUGAAUUUACUGUCAAGGGAUGGUGCAAAGCUGAAAAACUACGGAAGUUGAGUAUGAUUGAUUAGUUUCUUGACAAACUUUGCUGGGUACUAGGUAAGAGCUUGGCUACAUUGGUUUACUUGGCAAGCCAAGCCGGAGAUUGGGUCAAAUCAAAUGGCAUUAGAAUUUUCAUUUGUUAGCUCGUUGAGCUGUUCUUAAUUUUUAAACUAGUAUAAGAUGUGUUCAACCUUCUUUUAUUUGCUUGAACCAUCCUUGGGAGUAUUCAUGGCUUGAGUUUGAAUUUCUUGAUUCAUUGAAUUACCUGAAGGGUUCUUUUCUUUUUUUUUUUAAUUAGUUUGCCGCAAAAACUGAAAGAGAAAGGGCAGGGUCUCAAAUGGGAAGUGGGUAGGGGCAGGGGUGGAAAGUAUUUUAAAGCAACUAUGAUUUAUGCAAAGAAACAAUGCUUUAUUUUAACACCCGUCUAAGCAUCCAAGCAUGUUAGAUGUUGCAAUAGAAAAAAUAUCCUUCGACUUCCUUAGUUGUUUUACAAGUUGAUUUGUUUCCUUUCCUCGCCAAUUUAGAAUGUUGUCUUAUACUUGUCUGCAUCAGUACUUUGCUUCUUUCUUUUUCUGGAUUUGUCAGGGAUAUCAUUUUGUACUAGACUGUUCCUAGCACUAUUUCACUCCAUGUUAGAGUUGAGCUUGAGUUGAGGUGUGUCUUAUCAGGCCAAGCUGAAAUUUGAUGGCAGUCUGUUGUUCAUUGCAAUUUGACAUAUUUUGUUCACUUAUAAAAGUUUUCACAACACCAGGGUUAUAGGUUUUUUGUUGUCUCUACUUAAAAGAAGUAGUGCGUGAGAUGCAUAUGCUUUUCCAAUCAUUCCAUUUCCUAUCUACUGCUGUUUUUCGUCAAGUAGAAAGUUACUGUUUUUAGGAACCAUAGAAAGUGGAGUGCAUCAUUUGGAAAGCGAUCGCAAAUUUAUAAAAGAUACUUUCAACUAUGAGAAUUCUCGAGAAUAGUUGGUCCACUUCCGCUUCUGAUGAAUUGGAAACCAUUAAUUUCGAGAGUCAAUGACUCGGAAGUUGUAUUAGGAUUUCAAAUUUGCAAACAGUUCAGCCCUGAUAUCUUGAUUGUCAUGCUAUAAGCAUUUGCAAGUUGCAACCCUUCUUAUAUGUGUUUACUUAAUAAGAAAUCAGUAGGGGAUGGAGGAAAAUGGCAGAAAAGGAGAAAAGAGGGAGAGGAGCAAUAGAGGAUCUGCCUAGUGUCCAGUAAUUCUAAGGAGUAUUUGAUGAGUACAGUUCCCUUUUGGAACAUUAUCAAGUCAUGCAUAUGAUGGAAUUGUUCAAUGUAAAGCUGGAUCUCCUUUCCUGAUCAUGUGGCUUGUUUUAAUCAGAUUGGCAGAGAGAGAUAAAACUGAACAAAUUUUCUGGCAUGCGGACGGAAAUGCUACGGUAAUGUUAGCAUUUUGUCUCCACCAGUUACUGUGACAAUGCUAAAGAAGUGACGGAUUUUUUACCUCUCCCAUACUUGAAACUGAAGAUCCUCCUUUGCACCUAUAAACUGUGAUAUCAUGAGUUCUAUCUUCUCACCGACCUCUCACCUCCGAGUUGCACCACUAUAUCAUAAAUUAGGAAGUAAUCUACAUCUACAGUCCCUCUGUUGUUGCUUUAAGCUGUGCCAUUUCCUUGGUGGUCGACAGUCUUCAGUUUUGUGUAAAUUCCCAACCAUUUCGCCUAAUCCCAAGCUCAAGUUUCAGUCGACUCUUGGGGGUACAAGUCCUGCAAAUGAAGGAACAGUUUCUGUGAUUAAUUUUGAAGAUUUAAUGGAGAAGGAUUGGUCAUUUCUUGAGCACGAUGAUAAAAAUUCUAAGGAACAGCACAACCAGAAGCAAGAUCAGAUCAUUUCUGCAGGGGAGGUUGGAGAAACUUCAAGGGUUCUAAUUUCAAUUGGUUCUGAAGAGUUUGUUGAUAAAGUUUUUAAUUCUUCACCUUGUGAGCAAUUGCUUGUUGUUCAUGACUCGUUGUUUAUAUUAGCAAGCAUCAAAGAAAAGUAUGACAAAGUGAAGUGUUGGCAAGGCGAAUUAAUUUAUUUACCAGAGAAGUGGGCACCUUUUGAUGUUGUGUUUUUAUAUUUCCUUCCUGCUUUGCCAUUUCAACUUGGCCAGAUUCUGGGAACACUUGCCAAGCAUUGUUUGCCAGGUAAUCUUUAUCACAUCUGCCCUCUUUUUAAGACUUCACAUGCUGUAUUUCAUGUUGGCUUUGCAUCUCUCGUGCAAAAGCCUUAGUGAUCUGUCACUGACUGCAUAAAUUAUAACCUAACCUUACAUUGCUGCACCCGAUGCAACAAUGAAUUUUACUAAAUUGAGGCCCAAGUAUAUCUUUUGUUCUUCCAUGUAUUUUACUUUGAAAACUAAUGAGAUUCUAUAAUGAACUGUAGUAGUCGUUUCUGGUUUGGUGCUUUUGAAAAAUUACUAAAAUACUUGGGAUUGUGUCAUUGUGGGUUGAGAUGAACUUCCUGGAUUAAACUUUAGUAUGAAAAAUUGCUUUGUUCAAUGUUUUUAUGAUAUUUCUCCCGUGCAUUAUCAGGUGCAAGGGUUGUGAUAAGUCAUGUGCAAGGGAGGCAAAUGGUUCAAGAGCAGCAAAAACAAUAUCCUGAUGUAGUAGCCGCAGAGUUGCCAGACAAGACGACUUUGCAAGAUGUUGCUGCUGAUAAUACAUUUGAACUGGUGAAGUUUGUGGAUGAACCUGGAUUUUACCUUGCAGUCCUGAAAUUCCAGACAGAGAACCUUGUUAGAUAGUUUUUACAUGUGCUCAAUUCAAAAAGGUUUUGUAGUGUAUCAAUGGUUGUGCCUGAGUUCCUCGGUACUCUUUAUUGUUCAAAUAGUUAAAGAGUGACGGUUGUUUUUCUUCGCGUUUUUUUUGUGGUACGUUUUGGAUUUUGUAGUUUAUCGACAAUUUUAGACCUUGAAUUCGAUGACAAUUGGAGCUUCAUCAAUCAAUAACUUGGAUUGGACCUCAAACCAUUUUGUGCACCUCUCCUUGAGCUACUACCAUCUCCGAUGCCUGCAAUUUGACCAAUGAUAAUCUUGAAGCACUGGAUCUGCUGAGACAUUGGCCUCGCAUUUUCUUAGCUUUGCAUGCCAACAAUUUUUAGUUCCAAAUAGAGCUGUUAACAAAUCGAGUUGUUCACGAACAAAGCUCGACUUGACUUGUUUAGAGUCGACUUGUUUAAUCUAAGAGCAUGACAUUUGAUUAAGCAAAUCAAGUUCAAACUCCAAAUCAAGAUUGAUUAAUAAUGAAUGAAUGAACAUGAACUUUGUUCACGUACUUUGGUUGCGAUCGUGAAAACAAAAAUUAUAUAAAUGACGUUUAGAGUUGCACACAUCAUUUUCAUCUUUAUCUUAGUAGUAAGCAACCAUGUUUGACUUAACUUGCUUCAUAUUGUUCCCUCCUUUUAUUUCUGCUUCAUGUUCAUCAAUAUUUAAACGUUUCUUUUUAAUCAGAACUAAACUAAAUAAUUUUUUAAACAAAAUUCAUAUUAGAACUCGAGCACAAGUUCGAACUUUCUGUGAAACGGGUCGAGAUUGAAUUGAAUUUGAACUUAUCAGUUCAAUAAGUACAAAAUUAGACGGCCUGUUUAUUUAAGCAAACGAUAAAGCAAAGAAUUUGAUAUUUCAAAUGGCUUAAACAACCAAUAAGAAAUGUGAAAAGCUUGUUUAGAAGAAAGAUGCAGAAGAGUUGGUGCUACUGAAAAUGAUUAUUUGCCUUAAUGGUUUUCAAUGGAGGUGCAAAAUUGGUUCCAAUCACUCCCAACGGCCAUGGUUGCUUACAGCAAAAGGAAGGUACACAGAAGUUAAAUACACGCAGUGUAAAAGUGUUUCUGCAGUUAAAUUUCCCAGAAUAGAUAUGGAAUGCUGGUUCAAAUGCUUGGCUCAGAUUUCAAACAAAACGCACACUGAAUAACUAAUCGCAGUUCUUCUAUAGAAAUUGCAAGAAGGGACACUAUCCCGGGAAAAGCUCCAUUAACUUCAAAAAGUUGAUCUCAUACAGAAAACCUUAAACCAUUCUGCAACAUUCUCAAACUCUCUUUCUACACAAGGAACUCUAAGAAAAACAAACAAAAUAAUUCAAUCAACUAAACCAUAAAAAGAUGCUAAAAUUUUCAGAGGAGGAUUAUUGUAUGGUAAUGACUAGCUUCCAUCACUCAAAGUAGGGACUGAAUCUCAAACAGCCUCCUCACACUUGUAACUCUAUAUAUCAGAAGAAUGAAAACUUUAUCCCAUUACUUGCUGCAAACAAGUUAUAUUCUUCAAUAGAACUUUUCUUAUUGCAAGUUUGAUCACCUUCACUGUGAUCAGCAGAUAAUUUUGAAGAUAAAUCUGUGCCAAUUUCUUCCUUCAAGGAUGCAGGUUCGGACUUCAAACCAGGCGGAACAUCUACAGGGCCACCAAAAUGAAAAAGGGAGAAGCCUGUAUUUCUGACAUCAGAUCCUUCAGUCUUCAAAUUCAUCCCCUUUUUGGCUGUAGCAGGUGUUUCCCUUGGCUGCAGCCCAUUAGAGACCACCCUCUGUACAUUAGCUCCAGCAUGGGUUUCUAUUGUACCACCUACAUUUGAGAUCUUCAUAUGAUCCUUUCCAUUAAUGCCAUUGCUUUGAGCAACAGACUGGAAAACAGGCACAUGACUGCGGUUAAGCAUUUGGGGAGUAGGGUGCUGUAAAGUGCCAUACUGCAUAAGAUGGCUAUUCCCAUUCAAACCAUACCCAAACGGACUAGCAAAUAAAUAAUGAUUGGGAGAGGGAAACGCCAUAAACCCAUUAGUAGGAGCAGCUGGCCAAGAAAGUGGACUUUGAUGGUAGUACCCCAUUGGCGGAGAUUGAAAAAUUGGAAACUGCAUGCUCUGGUUGUGCAAUUGUGGGAGCACAACUUGAGGCUGAGCAUUAAUGCUCAUGUUUGCUCUUCCAUUUUCACUAUUAGCUUUGGAAGACAAAGUACCCCAGGUGUUUGUGGCUGCAUCAUUGACAACCUCGCCUUUGACAUGCUCCACUCCACAUGUAUUCUCCCCUUUUACCAUCCCAGCAUCUUGACAUACAGUGAUGCCACUUUGAAAGCAGACGGAUGUUUCUCUUCCUUCUGAGUUUUGACUAGCAUCAUCUGAAUCUGAUGAAGAUGAAGAUUCAGUGGUUUGAGGAUUUGAAGAUGAUAUGUUGCUGUCUCCCUCACUAAGGCAGGAUGAGCAGUUAUCAGAAUUCGAAGAGCUGCUCAGUGAUGAAUCUAAUGUUGCCUGUAAAGAUCUUGACAUAGGACACAGUUCACCAUCCUCAUCCGUUGCUUCCUUGUAUUGCUGGGAUUUUUCUUUUGGAUGAAACCCAUUUUCACCAUUUCUCUCUGCUUCAGGCUCAGAUUUUAUUACUGCAUGUAAAUCCUUGUCCUCAUGCUUGAUUUGAAUAGUGAUCCCCAUUAAAUUGUCAGAACUGCUAGCAAUAGAAGAUUCAGGAGCUUGAUCAGAUUCAGUAGUUUCACCUUUAAAAGUAGAACAUCUCAAGGUAACAUCAGAGUCUGAGUUACUUCGCGGGUACUUCUGUGAUUCCAUUGGCUCCCAAACUUUCUUGGUAACACUUGAAUCUCGGUUGUAAACAUUGCUCCCAUUGAUAGUUUUGUUCUUGGAUCUUCCACAGUUUUCACGCAUGUAUUCAUUGUGGUUUAUACGGUAGUAGGGCUUAGACAUAUCUGAUACAGAUUCUGACUUAAAGACAGACUUAUUUUCCCUGACCAUUCUUGACAUGUGUGGCUCCACCUUUAAUCGAAAAUCACUGUAUUGAUUGCAGCUGCAUGCAUGAGAUUCAUACCUGUCAUGGAUCCUGUUACUGGAACAAGCAGCCUUCUCACUAUACUUGGGUCCAACAUUUCUGAUAUUGGACUUCACAACAAAAUUUCUUAGUUGCUUAGCUGGCCCAUUAAUGCUCCUCACACUUUCAAAAUUAUCACUGUGAUGUCUUGCUUCAUAUUUGUUAACCAUACUCCCAUUCUCUGAACCAAUCGCAUAUCUCCGCCUGUCAUACCAUUUUGAGUAUGUAUCCUGUUGAAAAUCUUUGCGAAACUUCAGCUUUCGACGAGAAUAUUUCAAGUGAUCAAUCGGGAAGUGACUCAUGCCAUCAUUUGUAUUAGCAAAGUCUCCAUCAGGACUAUCAGACUGAUUUUGCAAAUCUGAGUAAAUGAACUCAUCCAAAAGCUGCUCAUCUUGAAUAUCUGGAGAUAGAGACCCAGAUGGAAUAGCUUCCCCUGUUUCACUGACAAAGUCACCAUUACAGAUAUUAUUUGAUUCCCCAUCAGCAAUAGUUGUUAAUUCAUGCUCUGAAAUUUCAGGACCCUGAGAAUGUUUAGUUGAUUCAGAAUAUUUCUUCUCUCUAUCCUUUUCCUUUUCUCUUAAUCUCUCCUUUCUCCGCAGCUUUUUCUCUCUUUCUUUUGUUCUCCUCCGUUCCUUUCGCUCUUCUUCUUCUCGCUUUUCUUUCUCUUCUUCUUCAAGAAGUUUCAUCUGUCAGACAUUUUAAAAUAGAGGAUCAGGAUAAUAAAUGGUAAAAUUCUGGAGAAUCAACUUUUCCCAGAUUUUUUAAAAUUUUUUAUACCUGCUUUUCUAGAGUAAUGAUCUCCUUGCAUGCAACAUGGACGCGAUCCUCUAACAACUUUAGAGCAAGACACACAAAAAUGCUAUGAGCAUUUUGUCGUGCUGUUCCUUCCCUAAAUGCCUUUUCAACCUGCAGAUAUUGAAUCUUGAGUAAGCAUUUUAUAUUUCAUUAACUUGAACGUGCACUUAUGCACGAAAGCCAAGACAGAGGAUAUCAGAAACAAAGAUGGAUGAUGAGCAGUCAAAGAAUCCAGGGUGAAUGAUCAGAAGAUUAUAAAGGAAAAACAAAUGAUUCUAGAAUACAACUUUAAUGAUCCAAUCACAAAGCUGAGAGGAAAACUUUAGCCUCAAAACUGAUAAAUCUUCUUGACCUCAAUUUUUUAUUCUUAAGACAGCUUACAGGACUCUUUUUACCAUUAAAACUCCUAGAUACCAAAUCAAUUAAAGAAGUUACAAAAAGAUAAUAAAUUAGCCAUCCAAUGUACUCAAACAAUAAUGCAUUAGGAUGCAGAUUCCUAGAUGAUCAACAUAUUAACUAUUGGGAUCUGGUAAUUGAAUGUGUAUAUAUAACUGACCCCCCCCCCCCCACAAGGAAACAAAAUCAACAAAAAUUGGUAAUUAUAUUUUGCACUAAGGACUUGACCCACAGAAUAAUAAUGCUGAAAAAGAGAACAAACAAAUACAUGCCUGUUCCUUGAAGAUUACAGUUGCAGCAUCUAGGAGAAACUCUCGAGCAAGUUCAGGACUCUUCGCAUGUUUCUGGGGACGGGAGCAUUCACUAUCUAGCUCAUUUCCAUCCUUGUCCAUGGAAUCAUCAUCCUGCAGAUGAACAUAACUCUAAAUCACUAAACAAAAUCGACUCAAAAGAUGGCAACUGUCAUAUUAUGUUAGAAGUAAAGACUUAAAAAACAAGCUUCAGAAGAACUGAAGAGCUCUCAUGUUAUGUCAGAAACAGAGACUCAAGACACAUGCUUCAUAACUUGACUACCUCUUCUUCCUCUGCCUCCUCAGCAUGCUCAAAGAACCUUCUAAUGCUUUCGCCCCUGGUGAUGGUGACAAAGCCAUCACCAACCACAAGCCUGCAGUGUACACACUGUUGCCCCUUUAAAGCAUGAGCUUUAACACAAAGCUCAGUACACCGACCAUCCAUUUUCCAAGCCCUUAGAGUAAUAUAACAUGAGUUCAAACCACUCAGAUCUAGACCUUUCACUUGAACUCUUCCACUCAAACCGACAUUUUCAAACUCCAAAAUAUCACAUUUCCCUUCUCCAGUUCCAACUGCCCAUUCAAAGUGAUGAUACGUCCCAAAAGUGUCUACAAAUGUUUGUUGCCAAUCAGCUUGUACUGUGUCAUGAGAUACCUGAAAUAAAACAGUAAAACAUAUGAAUACCAAUUGCAAUAAGAAUUUCCUGAACAGAAGAUAAACAUAUACAAUAUGUAUCGGUAACUCAAGGAACUAAUGAAACCAACAUUUACAGAAGUCCUUUAUACAAAUGUAAUUGAAAAAAUAUGGAAGUUGUUGUCUUCUCAGUGAUAAAUGAAAAUUACAAACCUCGUAUUGGAAGGCCGUGUCUGCAACACAAAACCAACUGGUGCAGCGAGGUUCCCUUCUCAUUCUUUUAAGUUCCUUCAGCUCCUUAAACUCACGUAUUACAUUUCGUCUGCAAUCUCUACAAAACCUCUUGCUAUCAAACCUGUAUGAAGCCAAGAUUUUCAGGAUUAGUAACAAACACAUUAAAAUCACAAUAAUGUUCUUUAUGAGCUCACCAGGAGACACAUGAAGUACACGAGAAGUCCAUAACAACAAAGUUCACAUCAUAUACAAGAAGCACUAUUCUUCUGAUUCCAUAUUUAUUUGCAAUCGCCUCAGCUCUUGAACCAAAUCUCUCCAAUGUCCAUAAGUGUCUUAACCAGAGAUAUUAUCUCCAGUUUCUUUCUCACCAAUAUACAAACAAAUUUAUAGCACAUUUAGACUUAUCAAAAUAAGAAGCAGAUCCCAAAUUGGGAAUGUUCAGUUAAUAAGCAAACAAAACCUUGAGCCUUCACCUAAAAGAAGAUAAUCCUAAAAAAAAAUCCAGGCAGUAAGUCAUUGUUAUUGAAUCGUGUAACUUACGCAUAGGAAGUAAAUGCUAAAUUGGUAGAAUAGAGGAUUGCCAUUAUUGUAAACAUUAGCAUCAAAGCAUAAGUAUGCAAAAGAUCAUAACUAUCAGUUUCGUCUCUUUUCAAAGAUAAUUCAACUCAUAGAGAACCACAAGCAGUAUAUAUGUGCGUGUGUGUGUGUAAACACGAGCAAUACAGUACCACAAGGUCCACAAAUUUAUAAGAAGAGCCAAAAAAUGAGUUAUAACAAAAUUUAUUUUGUUUUGUUAUAGAUCCGUCUUGUAUCAUCUAAUCUUAAUUCUACCUACAACUUCCAAAUAAAGAGGCAAUAUUAGUCAUACAACCAUGAGUGGAAAGCAAAAUUACUGAAAUUACUAAAAGGAAGCAAAAUUACACAUGUUGAAGAUGAAAAAAACUAGUACAAGGAGUCAGACUGAUAGUAACGGAAUUGUUCUCCAAGUUCAAGGUAUCGGAAUAUUUGAUCCCUAAGUGUAAGGAGAAAAACGCUAAGGGCACAAUGUCAUGUAUCGUUCCAAACUCCCAAAAAUAGAGAAAGUUUGGGACAUUGACAAAGAUAUCUUGGACCUUUGCACCUACCAAAAACCACAUUUUCCAUUUCUAUAUAGUCUUGAACAAGGUGGAACUGGAUCUAAUCAGAAAAAUUAUGCAAAUUUUCCCAAAACUUAUAUUUGUACAGCAUAGAACAUAAUGAAUCACUGUUUGAAGAUUUACAAAGUAUGAUUAUACUAGCAACAUUCUAAGGUCAUAUCCUUAAAACAAGUAAUAUAAAUUAAUUCUGUUAAGUAGCAUUCUCCAGUGGAAAGCAUGAAAAAUACUAGAACACUUUGUGUGCAGCAAAAAAAGGACCAGGAUUGCAUUAAUUAAGUACAAUGAACUGGCAUCAAAGAAGGCAUAAGGCAGCAAGGGAAGCAGACUCAAAUGUAGACAAAAAGGCAUAAGGCAGCAAGGGAAGUAGACUCAAAUGCAGAAAAAAAGGAGGCAGGAAUUAGACAUCACUCAUAACAGUUGUCAAUUUCUUAGUCCAUGCUAUCUACUCUACAUAAUGCUUGUAUGCUCACUAUUCAAUAAAUGAUAGAUCUUUUACUUGUUACAAAAUAGUAGUCAAUAUGUUACACCCAUCCCUCCAUUCUCAUCUAUUUGUAAGUUAUCGAAACCUGUAGUUCAAGAAAACAUUUAUUUGGUUCCACCCAGAAAAAUGCUGGAUAAAUACAAUCUUCUGGAACAGUCUGGGGACCUUCAUAAUACUUUUCAAAUCAAUUUACCGGUCUGUAAUUUACCAAAAAAAGGUUUACAAGAGAAUAUGACAGUUUUAAGAUAGUUUUUGUUUUGAAAUGCAGUCCACAACCACGGCGUAAAAUAGACUUGUCCACUUCCAGUGGCAGCGUACUCAUCCAAUUCCGCAGCAAAAUGCUGUUUGUCUACUGCCUCAAGAUGAGCUAUUGAAAGUCCUGAAUGAUCGGUCAACCAAGUCAUUGACUCAACGUUCUAAAUGGCACAAAAUAGAAUGAUGAAUAGCAUCAAAAUAUAUGAAAGCUACGGAAACUGAAAUUUUCCAAAAACAGCUAAAAUCCUCCAAAAGAGAAAAUAAUAGGAGAUGAUUCGCUUUUGGAUCACACAAUUAAUGCUCAAUCUUGGCACCUUCUGAAUAAGUUUCAGACCAUUAAAGCCUUACGCCUCUGUUUAAUAAAUUUCCACAACAGAAUACACAACUUUUCUACUUAACAUUGAUAUCCUGGUUGGAUUCGUAAGUUCAUGUUGAAGCAAAAACCAGAACAGUUUAACCAAAAACCAGAACAGUUUAACCAAAAACCUUAACACAGACCUGUACAUAAGUCUUUCAAUAAAAUCCUCUUCCUUCAUUCUUAACAGGGAUAGCCGGGUCUCUUCUCCUAGGGCUGACCAAAAAUCUACCAACGUGUCGACAGAAAGUCUAGCAGUAUGGAGAGCACAGGUUUCUCUCGUUCCAUGCCCUCUGCCAUAUCCACCCAUUCCUUGGCUUAUCCAUCCUCGACCUCCACCACCACAUGCAUCAGGAUAAAGCAACUCCCUUUCUCGUUCCCUAGCCCGUGCACUGUCAAAAACCUGUUUCACAUGAGACAUUAGCAAAAACAAAUGGCCAAAACUAACAAGACCAGGGAGACAAUUGAGAAAUAAAUGAAGCAUACAUUUUGGAUGCCCUUCAGGGAUUCUGAAUACUGGUAACAGUCUAAAACUGUAAGUGUUCCUUCUCGUGUCGUGGUCAGACCUCCCCAAGGAUGGACAGAUGGGUCUUGAAUAUCAUCAUCACAUCCAUCAGUCCCACAAAAGUCAACAUUGUUCUGAUUCUUCAAGGCUCCCAACCUGUUGCAAGGAUACUGGGUGCCUGCUCCCUCUUGUUGCAAAGACUUUCCAUACAUGACAAUCUGCAAGAAACCUUCAAGCAGUAACCCAUUGCACCUAGAGCAAUACAUAUUCUUACGGGCUUGCUCGAAAAGCGUUUGCUUGUCAAUCCUCAGAAGCUCCUGCCGAGCUUGCGGUGAUAGCUCAUUCCAGAACUAAAACACAACAAAGUAAAAAUUCCUUAUUAUUCAUUAGUUCCAGUUUCACGAAUAAAAAUGUACACUUCAAAGCCCAUAGCCCUUUUCAGAGCUCCCCAAUUUAAAGUUCAUUGAAGCAAUAACACAAUCCUUUUACAAGACACAAUUUUAGCAUAUAUAAUUAAUUCAAUCUGACAACAACAAAACAUCACUCUACAUGGCAACUCUAGAGCUGCCCCUAGAGGAGAAAGAGCAAAUUCAAAUAAAAUCUCUGCGCAACUUUGAGUGACUUCAACUACUACUCUAACAUACUAGGGAGCGUUUAAUCAUAGUCAGAAACUCAGAAAACAUAAAUAAAUAAAUGCUGUUUCAAAGCUUCAAUGUCAGUUUAAAUUCCAUUAUAUGCUGUAAAAACUCGGUGAGCAAAAAUGUGUGUGCCAUUGUUUAUACAGAAGGAAUUUGCAGGCAUAGAUAGGAUUUCGAUCUAAAAAAUCACACAAGCAUUAGAUAACCCCAAAAACACUUCCAAUCAACUAAAAAAGCUUCAGAUACCAACAAUGGUUGAAUGACUAAAUCCAUUUAAGAUUCCAACAUAUCAAGCUAACAAUCAACAGCAAGGCCAUAAACGUAUAUAUAAACGAAAAUCAUCCAAAACAAUUUAAUUGAAGCCAAUUGAAUUUAAGCACCUUCUGAAGUUGAUUAUAGCUGAUAUCCUCUCGAUGUUUGGACCAGAAGCCAUUGCUGGAAGACAGCGAAUUAUAAGACGGCGUUGCUCCUUUGGCAAAUUGGUGAUCAUUUCUCUCCGCCGCAGCCGCAGCUGCAGCAGAUGCUAUCCCUGGCAUAUCGCAAAAUAAUCAAAGUAGAUUUGAAAAAUUCCCAGUUUUAUCUCAAUUCCUACGAGAUUCAAUCCUCAUCAUCAAUAAUUCCUUCAUUCAUUGAUUCCCCUUUCUUCUCCCACCAAUCCCCACAAACCCAAAUCCAAAAAUUCUAAAAUAUAUAAAAGAACCGAUUCCUUGGCAUCGGAUUUCUAUUCAUAAUCAUCAAUGCAUAAAACUGCAGCAUCGGUUAAAUUAAAUUAAUCUCAAACAGAUCCGAAAAUGGAUUUUUGGGAAAUGGAAAAUUGAAUUUAUAUAUCUGGAAAUCUGUGAUUGAAAAUUGGCUAAAUUGGAUUCGGGUAAGAUCGAAGAGGGAGAUUUAUGAUCGAUAAUUUGGAGAGAGGAGGAAAGCUUUUGGGUAGAAAGAAAGGGGUUUGAGGCUGAUGAGAUUUGGUGCUAUUUUCGUUUAUAUAUUUUUAUAUACUACAUCUGUAUUUAUAUAUUUAUAUAUGUAUAUAGUGUAUAUAUAUGUGUGUGUAUAUAUAUAUAUAUAUUGUGUGAAGAAAGUAAUAGAGAAAUUGAGGCCUGAGAAGAAAUGAGAGAUGGUGUCAUGAUGAUGGGCUUGUGGGGUUAAAAAACAGGCGGUAAGAUACGUAGGAGAAAAGGGGUUAAAAUAGCAAAGAACCAAAAAAGAGAAAUCAAAGAUGGAGGCUGCACCCGCCCUCAUUUUACUACUCAUAAUGUCAUUGCUAAUUUUUUUUGGUAAAAAAAAGUUUGAAUGAAUUCGAUUCCGAUUAUCACCACAUAUCAAAGCACGCCUCCGUAAUAAUAAUGUCAUUGCCUGUAACUCUCUUUCUAAUUAAGGGUCCGUUUGUUUUGGGUGAAAAUAUUUUCCUAAUUUCUCGUGUUUGGUUGCACAAAAGUUACUGAAAACAUUUUCCUAUGUAAAAUAUUUUCACUCAUCUUAUGGAAAACAACUUCCCUUCCAAACUUACUGAAGUUGUUUUCCGAAAUGCAUGCAUCUCGCCCGUAAUAUGUUCCAAAUUUACUGAAAACAUCUUAUAGUAUGUUCUUUUUUUUUUGUAUAAACAGGAGGACUCGAACCCAAAAUCUCUUCCUUACAUUCCCUCCCCCGUACCAUCCAACCCUCCCCCUAGUAUAUUCAAAAAAAAAAAAAAAACCUCAUCCUAUGCUAAUAAUUAAUUAUGUAUAAUAGGGACAUUCUUUUCUAGAGAAAAUUUCAGCAGUAAGAGUGCAAGAUAUAUGUCACAAUAAGCAUUGCAUGUGAUUGAUAUUUGACAUUAAAUGGCCAACAAUUUGUUUAUUGCUUAAGGAGAUAUUUUUUAUUCAUAUAUACAUUUCUCCAAGAUUUUUUAAAGUUAAACAAUGAGAUAAAUUUUCUUAUUUUGCAUGGGAAGAAGUAUGUAGUUAUAAUGUGUAGAAAGUAAAGAUAGAAAUAAAAGUGAAAAUAUUUCAAAAGUUAAACAAACACCAGAAAAAUGAAGUAAGAAAAUAUUUUCAAUAAGCUAACCAAACACCUGAAAAUGAUGAAAAAGAAAUGAUUUUCAUGGAAAAUUACUUCCGCAGAAAAAUUUUUUCCAAGGAAAACAUUUUACUUCCAACCAAACAGACCCUAAGAGUUGUUUGCCAUCGUCUCAAAUGAAAACAAAAAAAACAAAACAAAAAUUGCUCAUAAAAAAUAUUUUCCAAGUAAUAUAAUCCCAAAUCAUAGUUUCUUUGAAUUUCCUCUUAUUUGCAAAAAAAAAAAAUUAUUAAUCAGAUCAUAAACAUGAAUUUCAAUCACAUUUUUAUCGUUUCGUUUAUCUUUUUAUCUCACAUACAUUAUUGUGACUCUUUGCUAUGAUUUGUGUGUCAAAAUAGACUUUGCUUUGCUAUGUAAAUUUAGCCUAUGCCAUUGUGUGAGAAAGGCGGAGUUAACACUUUUAAAAAUCGUUAUUGAUAUUCCAUCUUAAAUAUUUUUAAAAAAAUCGUUCAAAAUAUCCCUCAUAUUUUGUAAAAUGACUUUUUUGUUCUUACUUUAAAAAGUGUAAUUUUAUAUCUCUUAUAAAUUUACAUAGGUCAAAUUUGGUCCCUACUUAGAUUUUCGAUUAGUUUUUUUCUGAAAUUUACCACGUGCCUUGCACUUGAUCAUAAAAUUCAUUUUAUGAAAAGUAAAGGAUUAUGAAUUGGAUUAUGUAAAAUGUGAUUUGGUAAUUUUAUCCCUCAAAAAUGAUUACGUGAAAUGAUAGAGACCAAAUUUGACUAAUAUGAAUUUGUAAGACACAUAAAAUUACACUUUUAAAAGUGAAUGAUACAAAAUCAUUUUACAAAAUGUGAGAGAUGUUUUGAACAAUUUUCUCACAUUUUUUCACUUAGCAUAAAUAUGUGUAAGAUGGGAAAAAAAUUUCAUAGUCAUUACUUGGAAAAGAUUAAUUGUGUAUGCAAAGAUUGGUUCUCCCCGAGCAAAAUGAACAUCUUUUUUUUUUUUUUUUGGGUUGUUGAUUCUUUUACAAGUCACGAGCCUGAAAAAAAAAAGACCAAGAAGUAGAAUAACUUUUUGCAUUGUCAAUUUCAGAGUCUGCUUGGACAAGAAGUUUAAACCGCCAUGUAAAACUUGCAUAGUCGUUUGACCAAGUGAUCAAUAGCUUUAAACUCUUGCAAAGUUAGUCUUCAAGUGUACCGCAAGCUUUAAAUUCUUCUAAAUUGGUUUUAGGGUGGCUUAAGUACGUCCUUAGCACAGUAAAAACAGUAAAAAUUGGACUAUUGUCGCAGCAAUUUCCAUUCCAAAUUGAUUUAAUUCUUAUGAAAAAUUAUUUAUAUUUCUGAGGUUCUUAUUGUCACCUAGAGAUCAUUUUGUUUUAACGUGCAUAGGUAUACUAAUUCGAAUACUGCAUCCAAUACAGCAUGAGAAAAUUUCAUGUGUAAUACUGCAGUUGCUACAAAUCAACUUGUUCAUGCAUCCAAUGCAAUGAUUUGCGUUUAGUUAAUUAACCACAAUCGGAUUUUGCCAAUAUUGGCAUUUUCGAGUGUUUUAAAUUGAAGAAAAACUCUAACCAAUUUGUCGGUGAUUGCUUACGAUAAUGCACAGUCAUUGAAUGUGUUUAACUAAUAUAAGCUGAUUCAAUUAGUAAGAAUGGAUCGUUUUCUUACAAAAAGUCAUGUAGUUGAAUCUCGUUACUACUUUGAGGUUGUGCUGAUCUAACCUAUAAUGAUAGUUGAAACUAAAAUUACUAAAGCUUUUCUCCAAAAAGUAAAAAUGUGGUCAUAAUUUUCUUGCAGACAACUUGUUGAAUGAAUUGUUCGCGCACACCCUUACAUACACUAAUAUUGUACAAAACGUAAGGAUGCUUGUGAGAUUCGACAUCGAGACCUUUGCUGUGUCGGGGAUGUUGUCAACUUUGAUACACAAUUUCCUCCAAAAAACUUUGGAUAUACACAACAAUAAUGUUGUCAUUUCGUUGAAACAGUUAAAUAUCACAUCGUCAUGUUGCCGUAUAGUACCAUAUACGCCUGGCAUAGGACCCAAAAUUACAACAUAGCCAGCUUCCUAUCAAGAGAUGUGUAUGGAUUGACAACAUUUAUCCAAUUAUACAGGUCUGCUUGGUUUGUAAUUUUUUUUUUAAAAAAAUUAAUUUCAUAAAUACAUUUUUUCAAUUGAUUUUUUAUUAUUUAAAUAAUUUUUUAUCUUAAAACCAACUUGUCUUAAGCAAGUGAGCCAUAAAAAAAGAUUUAAAAUCCCGCUUUAGGGUGCAGUUCUGCAGUUCAAACUCCUGCAAUCUAUAGUUAAAAAGAAGAAGAAGCUUUUCGAACAACCCUUGACCUAUUGUCUUUGCACAGUUUUGCCCCCUCAAUUAUAAAUUGUUACAAAUAAACCCUUAAAAAAAUAUUUACUUUAAUGACUUCCAUCAAUUUUGGCCGUUAGAGGUGACGGAAUUAACGGCAAAACCAACCAAACAAAAAAAUCAACCCACGAAAACAGCUUAAAAGGCAUUGUUGACUGAUUAUUUCAUCAAAUUAGGGUUAGAAAAUGUGGAAGAUGAAACAAGAUGAAGAAACAUUAAACUCCAUAUUAUUGGUUGAGUUAAUAUAGUUGGUUUCUAAUCAAAUUGUUGGUUAAUUUUUUUUGUUUGGUUGAUUUUGCCCAUAAUUUUGUAACAUCUAACGUCCAAAAUUGACGGAAGUCCUUAUAUUAAGUUUUUUUUUUUUGAAGGGCUCAUUUGCGAAUUUAUAGUUAAAAGGUCAAAACCACGCAAAGUGAGUAGUUUAGGGACCCGUCGCAAAGUUUCCUCAAAAGAAAUUCAAUGAGUGUGUCAAGGCACCCUUUUGAUCUAGAUAAGUCUGUCUUUCCUUUGAUCUCGUAUAUAAUCCAGUUAGAUGCUUCCUCCCUUAUAGAAUAGGAUAAUAUGUAGAACAUGAUACUCCCUCAGUCCCACUUUGAUAGUCAUGUUUUCCUUUUUCGUCUGUUCCAAAUUGUAGUCCACAUUCCAAUUGAAGAAUAUAGUUGUCUUUUAAUUUCUCUAAAAUACCCUUAUUCAAUGUAAGUUGUUAUAACUAUAAAUUACCUUAUUUAAUAUAAGAUUGUUAGUAUUGAAUAUAACCUACCCCAUUUAAUGUAUUUAGAUUUUCCAAAACACGUUGAUAUAUGAAAAGUCAACUUUGUUUAAUGUAAGGGUAUUUUAGGAAAAUAGCCAUCUAAAUUUGUUUUUCCAACAAAGUUAACUACUUUUUCUUAAACUGUGUGAAAAAAAAAACUAAAACUAUCAAAAUGAGACAGUGGGAGUAGUAAAGAUGCUUCUCUUCCUCCUUUGUAAAAUAGGAUGGUAUAGAUAUUGCCAACUGACUGAAAAAAAAUUGAAAUAAAUGAAAACUAGUCAUAUAAAUUUUUUUCGUAAGGAAAAAUUUUGAGGCAGCUCUGUCACUAGUAGUACUUACUACUACUACUACCACCAUUGCUAAUGCAACUCGAGUUAAUAGUUAAUACAUUUACGAUUGUAACAUGUGCCACCUAUAAUGUCAAUCGAUCUCCAUACUAGUUAUUAUUGAAGUGGACGACGGAAGCAUUCAAGCAACUUGGCUGGCUUUCUCAACCCCUAUCGUUUCCUAUGGUUGCAGUUUCUUACGUUCUUGAUUAGUCUUCUGUAAUAUAUUUGUUAAUUUUCAUCUUGUUUUGUUGGUUAGUGCCUAGUGGAUCUGUCAAGCGUGAGGUCCCUCUUAGAUGAUAGAUCUAAGCAUAUUAUUCAACAACAUCACGAGUAAUUUGACUUCUCUUUUCCAUCAUUUUGUAGUUAUCUUGACUUCACCACACAACCAGAUGGAAUGAAUAUGGGGAAACACAUGAAAGUGAAAACUUUAACUCGGUGUGCUAUGAAAAAGGGGUUAAUACCACUUUAUCCCCCAAACUUUGGACGAUUACCCACUUCAGUCUCUAAAUUUCAAAAUGGGACACUUAAGUCCCUAAACUUAUAAAUACCUUCCACUUAAGGAAAAUUGUUAACAAAUCUUGAAUGCCGUUGGUGGUCGAAGUGUCCCAUUUUAUAAGGGUUUAGGGAUUUAAGUGUCUCAUUUUAUAAGUUUAGGGACUUAAAUGGGAGAUAUUUAUAAGUUUAGGGAUUUAAGUGUCUCAUUUUGAAGUUUAGGGACUGAAGUGGGUAAUCGUCCAAAGUUUGGGAGGACAAAGUGGAAUUAACCCAUGAAAAAGCUAAGGAAGAACAAUGAUAAUUUGCUAACAAGGACAUAUGUUUAUUCAUUCUGGGAUAGAGUAUUAGAAGUUAGAAUAAUUUUCUGGUUAUGCCCCCCAAAAAAAAAAAAAAAUCAUCCAAUCGGUUCUAAUUUUAACUGAGAGAUGCACUCUAAGCUACACGAUUAAUUGACUUCUUUGUUUACAUUAACAUAAGUAUCCAAAGGAAGAGAUCUGGCUGGUGGAACUGAAUCUUACAGUUACCCCAAGGUGUAAGUGAUUCCAAUUAAAGAAUGUGAAAGAAACAAAGAAUUCGAUUUAUUUGACCAUGUACAAUUUCUAAAGACAUAGUAUACUAUAACGUAUACAAUCACCUGAAAGAAGCUAAUUGCAUUUUUGUACAAGCUUGACAACAUCAAUAUUUCAAACUUUUUGUUUCGGUUUUCAAAACUUGACUCUUUGCUCACAAUUUAUUCCUGCAUAACAUUGGGACUUGGUUUUUGGUUAAUUAAAGGCCAUGAUGUUUGGCUUAGCUUUUGUUUUGGGUUUAGCAGCUACUGCUUAUCAAAGAGUUGCUUCGCCUUGCACGUAUUGGAGAGGGAAGAAUUGAAAGGCCGUUUAUCUGUCUGAUGAUAAUGAAGUAUCCGUGGACUAAAGAAAAGUAAAUUACAAUUUUGCCCCUUUAUUUUAUUAGGAAAAAAAAUGCAAUAAGAUUAAUUUUUUAUGCACCGGUUAGUAUAAAGAUUUUUUUUUAAAAAAAUACAUGGCACUGGAUACAUGCCACAUCUGUAAAAAUAAUUAAAUUUAAAUAAAAAUUAUGCGUCAUGUAUCUAGAGCUACUUUUUUUUUUUUUUGUGUGUGUCUGUAACGUCAACUAUCUAACUGAAUCCGGGAGGAGUCUAAAGUACGUUAUACAGACAUUAGGAGGUGAAUCACCAAGUCAGACUUGUGCACCAUCGCACUCUCUGAAUUUUUAAGAAUAAGAAGUACUGUGCUUCUAGGGCUACUAAUAAUUAAAAAAAAAAAAAACCCUUGUACAUUGACAAUUACAUAAAAAAUUAAUCCAUAUACAUAUGUAUGUCUUUUCUAAAAGUGUUUAUCAUGUAACCGACCAAUAUCUUUUAUGCAGUGGAAAAGUGAGACGGUGAAUAAGUCGAGGGAGUUAUUGGAUAGCCGACAUUAGCUAAUAUUGUAAUUCUCUCCGUUUUGAGUGUUAGACGUAAUUAGUCACAUAUAUAAAGAUAAUCACAAGACUCAUCUGGAGACUGUUUUUGGGCAUUAUCUGUCAAAGCUCUUUCUUUUUAAAAGUAUUCAGCCAAACAGGUAAUAACUACUGUACAUUAAUGAGCAUUUUUAGUAGUACCAGUUCCUUGUUAUGCUUCUAAUUAAGCAUUUGGGAGGAGAUUAAACAAGGACAUCCAAUCUUCGAUCACUACAACGUCCGGCAGCUUAUGUUCAGGUCCCCCGUCAUCUUGCUUGUCCCUAUAUGAAUAAUGGAAAAUCUGUUAUGCCUGUUUUCCCAAAGGACGAAUUAGAGGGCAUCAAUGGACCUUCGUUACAAGCUGAAGAAGUAGUCCGUUUUGCUUUCACUUAUUAUUAGUGUGUAGUUCUGCAGCAAUUUAAGAGGUUGUUUGGAUUGCAAUUUUUUGAAGAGCUUUUGAAGAAUAAAUUUCUAUAGAGCUUUACUUUAUAGAAUACGGGGUGUACGUGACAUAAAUAGAAUAUUUACAGAAAAGCAAAAAAAUAGCAAUUCAAACGAAAUCUACCCCUUCCGUACUGAUAUUUGCUUAAGACGGUAGGAACAUACAAAUGAAUCAAGCUGUUCCAAAAUAAUUAACUGCUAAACAAGAUAGCGAACACAAUUUACCAUUGGAACAUGAUCUUAUUUUUCAUGAUAACUAUAAAUUAAUCAUGAGAACCAAAUCAUAUUUUGAUAGUUUGUCUCUUACUUUUUCCUGUGUUUCUGAGUGUAUUUUUCACACACAUAAUAUUCUAUACAAAAAUUGGCAAUUGUACAGAAGUUUACUGUUGAAAUGGAGCGAAUUGAUGAGUAAUGAGGGCAGCACGGGUCCAACAAUAGAACAAAACAUGCGAAAGAAAGUGUUUAGGCAAAGCUACAAGAAAAGCUAGAGGACACAAAGGGGGCGACAAAAUCUUGGAACUCCCCAGCGGAAGAAUCUUUCAAUUUUGCGGUCAGUACCCAGUACAGCAGUUAACAUCAUUUAUCAUAUUGACUGCAAUCCGGGUCCUUCGAUCUUUGCACUUCAACAAACGGGUCACCGACCCAUUUACAGGUGGGUUUUCUGGAGGGGAAGGGGGGAGAGAGCGUAGGGGCCGGCGUGGGAUAGUUUAACCAGCCCAUUAUUUGUAACUGUCGAUUUUUUUGGGCUUUGGCCCUCUUACGGACCAAAAAAACACAAUAAAGAUGAAUGGAAUACUCCCAAGAUCCAAUUCAAUUGGACAAUAGUUAAAGACAUUAGUUAGAGACAGUUUCAGUUCGAAAUUUAUGGUAACAUCAUUUGGUAGCUUUGAAGUUUCAGAAAUAUAAUUCAACUUCCAUGCUAGUGAGAUGGGACCAUUAAUCAAUAUCAACGCGACAAAAUUAUAUUUACUCCUUUAACAAUUUUAAAGCAAAACAUAUAAAAAAGAACUUAGGUAAAACAUGUAAAUCUUAUAUUAUAAUCAAUUUGGUAGAAAUUUUAAUAUAAGACAACAUCAAAGGAUAGAAUUGGUAGAAUAUAUAUAUAUCUCAUCAAAUGAUUAUUAUAAGAAUAUUUUAAUGAUAUAAAGGCAACAUUGUUACAAGGUAUAUGAUUUUAGAGGAGGUUAAUGAUAUUUUUAAAAACUUUAGAAGUGCCAAGCAACAUUAACAUAAAUCUCAAUAAGGUUUCUAAAAUUAUCUCUAGUUACAAUGGUAGAGAAUAUACCAUUUUACAAGUUUAAGAAGUAAAAAUAUGCAUUUAAUAGUUGAAGGGUUAAAAGUCGACCAACUUAAUACUUUGAAAGCCAUCUAACUUUUCAGCGCUAAAAUUUAAAAUUUUAUUGAAAUAUUAUUUUUUAAAUUAAAAAAAAAUCACUAUCCACAACCAUUUACCACCCCUUUUUUCUCUCUCCACCAUUGCCAUCGUAGCCGCCCCUACUCCUCCCCUCAUUCUCUCUUUUCCUCCUUCUUCCUUGUCCCUUUUCUUCCCUCUUCCCCUCCCUUCUCUUAUCCCCUCUCUUUCCCGACCACACCCAACUCCUCCCUUUCCUUAUUUUGACUUGGUUGUGGCCAUCUCUCCUUAGUCCUCCCCUUCCAACCUCCGUCUCUUUCUUUCGCCUAUCUAGUUGUGACUAGAAGCCGCAACCAAAGUAGGGAAAAGGAGGGGUAAGGGAUGGUGAGGGAAGGGAGGCAAAUAAGAGGAAAAGGGCCAAGGAGGAGAGAGGAAGGGAGGGGUAGCGAUAGUAGUGGUGAUAAAGGAGGGAGGAGGCUAGUGAUGUGAAAGAAGAAAAAAUGAUAAAAUUUAUUUUUAUUUUUGUAUUUUAGAUGUGCAUUUUUGAAAUUGUUUUUGAAAUUUGUUACUGUAAAUUGCACAAACAAAAACCAUUUGUGAAGAAAAAGGGUAACUUGAAUAGAGCCUUAAUUUUUUUCUAUUUCUUUUUUUUAUAUAUUUAUUGUUGUAAGGUUUGGAGUUUGACUUAAAUUAAAAUACAUAUGACGUAGUUGUGCAAUGUUAUUUAUUGUUGUAAGGUUUAGAGUUUGACUUAAAUUAAAAAAAACAUAUGACGUAGUUGUGCAAUUUUAUUUAUUGUUGUAUUGUUUAGAGUUUGACUUAAAUUAAGAAACGUAUGACGCAUUUAUGCACCUGCAGUACUGCCUUCCUAUAAUUGUAGGAGGAUUUUUUGUUUUCUUCAAGCAACAUGAAAACUGAUGGAACUUGAUGUAGAUAAGUUUUACCCUCGUAAUCUCCGCUAUUUAUUGUUAUACCACUGCUUAAUGUCACAUUUGAGACCAAAAUCCGAUAGCACUUGCAAAUCAGUGUAUGCGUUUGCAAGGAUAGCAGCGGAUUAGGGUUUUAAUUAUCAAUUUCUCAUUGCCAAACCAUCUCGCGGGUUCAAGUUGUCCAUUGAGUAUCCUCUAUCCAUUAAGGUCAAUAGUAAAAAAAAAAAAAAUUAAUUAAUUAAUUAAUUUUUAUCGAACUAAAAUCAACAUAUACAUUAUGUUAAAUUAACACACUGCAUCGAGUUUCAAACUUGGGCAACACCAUAAAGCUUGCAUGAGAAAAAAUGGAUAUUUAGUGAAGGUUUGAAUCAAUAUUUCUCUGUUUUUAAUCAUAAUUGUCUUCAUUUAUGGCAUCGGGUAUUGGAUGUCGGGGUUUUAGGAUUCUCUUAUCAAAUUUUAUCAAGUUACUAGGAGGUAACUCUUCAUCAUCAAUAUCCAUUCCCAAUAGAUAAACGAUGAAUCACCAAAUCAAACUAAUCAUCAAGUUGUCUAAUCCAAUAUUUUUUAUUUUGAGGAACAUUUGAAUGCUUGUGUCUUUCAUGCAUCACUUGCCUUCACUAGUUGUAUUUUGAAAAUCCAAAUCAUGCAUUUUUUUCAUUUUUUAUUUGGAUAGAAAAAAAAAAUCAAGCAUUAGGUAUUAGUAUGAAAUUAGGCAAUGUCAACUCACACUUUUGAUUCCUCUACCACUCAUGGCAUCUGAAUUUAGUUAUAGAACAAUUCUAUUCAGUCUCAUUCUAUUUUGCAUGUAAAUUCACAUGAAGGUCUUAUUUAUAGUUCAUACUAUAAAGAAAUUUUUUUUUGUCAUGGUUUAGAGUUACUUGUGUGGCAAAUUGCAAUGAGAAGAAAAAGUAAUACAAGGGCCUAUAUGGAGCACUACUAAACUGCCAUGGAUCAUCAGUAAUUAGUCCCAAAUUCAGUCCUUCCCCGGAAAAGUAAAAAGUUUCCGAAGCUAUAAAAGAAAAUCUGAAGAGGAAAAAGACAAAGGCAUCUUCCAAAGUUGAAUUCCCGUUCCCUAGCCAACCGGAGCUGAAUCAUUAUAGUCAAAUCAUUAUAUACUCCGGCGAACGACCACCUUCACCGGCGGCCGAUGGCUUCUACAUUAUUCUCCCACCUAAAAUACUCCGACAGCUUAACGGUGGUCGCAAUUUCAAUCUUCACCGCCGUAGUCUGCGAAGCUAUCUCGUGGCUACUAAUCUACCGCACCAGCUCCUACAAGUCUCUCAAAUCCACCAUAGACAAGGCCUCCAAAAAGCUCGAAACCAUGAAAACCCCUAACGGCACCAGUGAACUCACUAAGAAAUCAAAAACCAAGAAAAUCGACCGCGUCGAGACCUCCUUGAAGGAAUCCAGCCGCGAUUUGUCUCUAUUUAAGUUCAAAUCCGGCGCUGUCGUCGCGGUCGUUUUAUUUAUGGUUUUCGGAUUGUUGAAUACUUUGUUCGAAGGGAAACCCGUUGCGAAAUUGCCGUUUGUUCCCUUGCGGAUUGUUCAGAAGAUGAGUCAUCGUGGCUUGUCCGGGGACGACAUGACUGAUUGUUCGAUGGCCUUUUUGUAUUUUCUUUGCUCGAUUAGUAUUAGGACUAACCUUCAGAAGUUCUUAGGUUUUUCGCCGCCACGCGGAGCUGCUGGUGCUGGCCUUUUCCCCAUGCCCGAUCCCAAAACCAGCUGAUUGAUCUGAUCCAUCCGCCAAAAAGCUCCUAGUUUUGGUAUUAAUUGCCUAGUGUUUUGAGUCUUUAGUUGUCACUUUUGUUUUUUAAUUUCCUUUCUGUGAAGUCUGAAUUUUGAGAUCAUAAUUGGAAGUAGACUGUUAAGUAUUUAGUCAUUGAAUGGAAUAGUACUGUUGAUCUUUUUUUCCAACUUUAUUCUUUCCCGAAACCGGAAAAGUAAUGAAGAACUCAUUUCUGUAUGUUGUUGCAGUUGUCAAUUUUUGUGAUAAUUAUUAAAUUAUUGCUUAUCUUUUGUUAGGCCUAUUUGAGGUUUGUUAGUUUUUAGAAUCUUUGUUCAUAACAGAGUGAGCUGUUAUUUGUUGGUUUAUUCCUGCUUCACAUGUCAAUCUAAAAUCUGUUUGCUCUGUUUGGUUUUGCUGUUUAGGAUAAAUUAUUGAUCUUUGCAUUCAUUAAAUUCUGAAUUUACAGUAUGUUGUGAUACGGAUGUUUGACAGUCUAAAGACUCUGAGCAUAAAUUUUGUCGGUAAGACCUCCUUGUAGGAUUAAUGCUCUUGCCGAAACCUUUUUUUUAUUGGGGUCUGAAAAGCACCUUGCCCACAUUUGUUGGGAGCAAGCAUUCUAACUUGAUCUAUCAUUGUCCUGCUUAUUCAUAAACCAGUCAAUAUAUUGCUAAUUGUGCUUUUUCGGGGGUAGACUUUCUGCUCUAGUAGUUAUCAAACAUUUAAAGGCCACUUUGAAACAGUUGCUCAUCAUGACCAUGGUAUCUUGUAAAUAUUUAUCGUGUUUAAUUCAUUAGAUCUAGAAGGUGUUGCUUAUUGCCCCUUGUAAUUGAGUUUUAGCAUUGAAAGUUACAUGUGUUUAUUGUGCAGUCUUUGGAUUAGCUGAAUUCUAAAGACGGCUGUAGGAAAUUCCAUCACCUUCUAUUUUUUUUGCGGGUAAGAAGUUUUGAAGCUUGCGAGCUUGAAUGUUUAAAGACUGAGAAUUGAAAGUACAGAUCUUUCCAAUUGCAGUUUUGGCUACUUAUAAUAUUUCUGUGUGAAGUUGUAAGUAUUAUAUUGCCAUGAAUAAAGAACAAUCAUGGCAUCAAUUUUGAAACAGAGAGUUAUAUUACAGAGUUAGUUGCAAUGGCUAAACUAACUCAUCCUAAAGUUGGGUAUACCAAUUUUUGUUGGUGUCAUGAAACAAGCCAUUUGGUAGGAUUACAAAUCUUGCUAAAACGAUGUUCAUAAUAAAGAUUUGAAAGGUUAAGGUUCAUAACAAAUUGAAGUUGUUUCAUGUCAUAAUUCGAACAACAAUUGAGGUUAACAAUGACUCAAGGAAAAGUGAAAUGCCUUCAAAUAGGAAAAUAUCAAGACAAAGUGUCUCAGCACAGCAUGCCUCAUCACACUUGCACAUUGUUUUCCUGCUUAAUGAUGGAAGAUGUGUAAUAAGUUGUGUUUGAAAACAUAAACCAAAUCAUUCAAUUAACUCAUCAACAGUCAUAUGUCCAUAAUUAAAGUUGGCUUGUACUUUUUAUCGCAAUAAAUGUUUAUUACUUAUUACUGCUACAUUAAUUUUGGUCUAACUUAAUCUUCGACCUGCAUUACUAACUUAGUAUUGAGGAAAGACAAAGGGUGGGCUUGUAUGAAAUAAGUGACUUUCAGUUCUAGGUACCGACAGUCUACCCCCUUCUCUUUCUCGACGCCUCCAAAUAAGAAAAAGGAUGGCUCAGAUGCUGUUUGCUCAUCUUAGGUACUCAGAUAGCCUAGCAGUCAUGAAAAUCUCACUAUUUUCUGCCAUAUUGUGCGAAGCUUUAUCUUGGCUAUUAAUCUACUGCAUCAACCCCCACAAGUCUCUCAAAUCUGCAAGUAACAAAGCCUCAAGAAAACUUGAUCGUACGAAAAAUCACAAUAAAAGCAAUGAAAUCGCCGAGAAAUCCAGGAUCAGCAAAAUAGCCUGUGUUGCAACAUCAUUUAAAAAAUCCAUAUUUGUACUUGUUCAAAUUAAAGCCUGGGUUGAUUCUCAUCCUGGUUCUCUUAGUCAUUUUUAAUACACUGAACAAUCUACAUGAAGGGAAACCUGUGGUUAAGUUGCCACUUUGGCCCUUACAAAUUUUUCGCAGGUUGAGUUAUAGGGGCCUAUCUGGGGACUACACGACACGUUGUGUUCAGUGUUCUUUUUGUGCUUUUUGUGCUCGGUUGCAAUUAGGGCUAAUAUUGAAAAGCUUUUAGGAUUCUCGCCACCACAUGAAGCUGCAGGUGGCAGGUUGUUUUCAUUGCCCUUUCUGAAAUCAAACUGAUUGGUUUUGUUCACUACCAGUUAGUAAGAACUUCCCUUUCUACUACUUGUAUUGUCCUUCUUUUGGAGAAGUUUGAAUUAAGAUAGCUGACUUAAAGUGAUCUCCUGUUCUGAUUGAAGAAAUUUAAUGGAUUGGGUGUUUUCAAAAAACUUUACUGUAGACGUGUAUCUUAAAAAUAUGUCGCCUGGUUUUUUUUUAAGGUUGUUUUGAAGGCUGUAUCAGGUUUGCAGAAAGAAUUAUCUUUACCGAAAGUGGGAAGCAACCCCCUCCUCAGCCCACCUUUCUGCCUCCCACACUGCUUCCUGCCACUCUCUCUCUCCUUCACCAGCUCUCUUCUGCCCACUUUUCUCCCCCAACCCGUUACCCUCUCCCCUCCCUUCCUCCCCCUUCCCCUACCAACCCGCCAGCCUCCCCUGUUCCCCAAAUCUGCAGCCCCUAUCCCCAUCCCCACCCCCUCUCCCCUCCUCCCCCUUCCCCCAGCAACCACCAAGGGGGAGUGGACUGCAGGGUUGUGAUGGGGGAAGGGGCAAUGGGCUGGUUGAGUUGGGGGAGGGGGCUGCAUUUUGCAUGUCUGUGUGUUUUGGGUACUGUUUCCGGUGUUCCGAGGGGUGUUACUAUAGACACGUGUUUAAAAUACAUGUUUUGAAAAAAAAAGGGAAUCCAUAAGCUCCAUAAGUUUUUAGUCAGAGGUUCGAACAGUAUUUUUAUCGUUCAUUCUUUUCGUUUCUGCCCAAAUUACAAUGACUUGCAUUUGUAUACAUCUAGAAUUUGCAAUGAACUUGCUGGCUUUAUUUCUCACUUACAAAUAUGUGUGCGCGCGUGUACACAUGUAGUGCCUGAAUUUUGGUUGACUUACACUGAGCAGGGUCUUUUUGACGAAUAAAUUGAAUUUUUUAUAUAUUUUUUAUUUGCAGUUUCUAUGAUAAUCUGUAGCCUUUUGCUUAAGUUAGAUGUGCUAGGUUGAUUUUUGUUUUUCUGUUUGUCCUUAAUAAAGAACCAGGAUGAUUUCUUGGUAUCUAUUUGGUCAAAUGAACCAAACAAUAAUUAUUCAUUUUGUCAACCUUAGACAUGUUUCUUCACACUAUCAAUAUGAAGCAAUCCUUUUUUUUUUUUUUAUGUAACUUAAAUUCUUGAGAAUUACAUUAAUGACCUUUACUUAGAUUUUCUGAACUCUGCAAUCUAACAUAGGUUUCUCAUGAAUAUUUAACAAUGGGGGGUCGGUGAUCUUGUUUUUGGAGUCUCAUUUUUUGAAACUGAGAAGGCUCGCUCCAUUAUUUUUGGGCAGUUCACUUUAAUUAAGUUUGUUGAAUUAUAACUGGUGAUUGUCUUAUCAAACUAAUUGGGUGAAUUUCCCACACCAAGACUUUUCAUAAGUCUUGUGACCUUACUUCGUAUCAAUUGAUGACUUCACCCGGUUUAGGGUUAUGCUUCCUAGGUCUUCUUUUUCGUUUUUCUACAUAGUAUUAGACUUGGUUUCUCAAUUUAAAAAAAAUAAUAAAAGAAAAAUUUGCUGGUUGGUUGAUGUGGAAUGGACAGCUACUUAAGGGCUCGAGCCAGGACUUUUGAGCCUGUGGAAUUGUGAUGUGAUAAUCAAGCAGCUAUAUUGCAUUACUUUGUGUUCCAUAAGUGUAUUAGACAUUUUGAAGUAGAUAUUCAUUUUGUAAGGGAAAAACUUCAAGUUUUAUUAUUUCUCCUGGUCAUGUUAAAACCGCAGAACACCUAGCUGAUCUCCAAUUACUAUCAGAUGAAGUCUGGAAAGUUUGGCUUAUACUAUCUUUGCAUGGUUUUUACAAUGUUAGAGGGCAAGGAAUAUAGAAAUGUUGUCUAAGUUAAGGUAGUAGUAUUGCUGUUCUCUGUAAUGAACUCCUUUUGGCUUUUGGUGUUCCACAUUAUGGCUCUAACUUUUGGCCCUUGUGAGUUUGGGAUCUCUAUCAUGCAUUGUUUUUUAUGCUAAUGCAAAAGGAAGAUUCUCAAAAAAUCGGAAUGUAGGAGCACUUCUGGUUUUCAAUGUGGAUGGUUUUGAAAAUUUGAGAACUUGAUGUUAAAGUAAGUGGAUGACUGAGAGAGAACCUGUUGGUUCACUAUUUUACCAAUAUAUCUUGUGUCUUUAUAGCCACUAGGUAUGUGUUGUGACUUAACUCUAAUCAAGAGCUAAUGAAGAUUUAAAUAUAUGUUUGAUGUCAUAUGACGUUUGAUUCUGUCUCAGUUGGGAAGGAAAGACACCACCAACCAUAUGUAGGUCGGUGAUGUAAUAUCCUGAUGGUGUCAUAAAGUGAGUCUGAACUCUGAAUCAAAAAGUACUAAUCCUACUGUAUCAACUAUUGAUCAGGUAACCUGUGCCUAUACGUAAUCUUCAGGAGUAUUAGUGUUUGCUUGGCUUUCCAUGUUCACAAAAUAUUUAGUGCAUUUUAGUUGUAUUGGAACAGAUAUAAUGUCACUGCCUAAUGGAGCCUUUAUUACAAUUCUGGCAUGCUUUGUUUAACUUUUUAACCUGCCAGAACUCUCAACCUUUCGCAUCUUUUUCAUAGUUUUUGGUCACAUGUCAACCUGCAGAGGUAGGAUUUGAAGGCCAUCUAGUUUGUUUUGCUGGUCUUAGGAUAUAAUCCUCGGUCAGCCAUUAUUGGCUUGCUUUGUAAGCUUAUAGUUAUGAUGAGUCCUUGAAUCUCUAAUGAUAGCUGAUUGGCCUCUUUUGAUUUCCUAAUUUCUUGAUACUCUGUAAGUUUUGCAUACCUUCAAAUUUUUGAAAAGCUUCUUUAGCGUUAUAGUUGUCUGACUUAUACAGGUCUUUAAUCCUCAGUUUACGACUGUUAUGAAAAAAAUACCAUACUCUUGAGAUGUUUGGCCUUAUCGGUGCCAAUGGCUCCUCCUUUUACAUUACCAGGAUUCAUCACUUGUUAGCUACAAAUCUGCUUUUGUAAAUUCGUAAUUAGUAGUAGAAGAGCAUUUCACUUUGUCAACAGGUAUCUUGGGAGGAAAACAUCUAGUCACACUAUUAUGAGUGACCAACUAGUAUUUAUAGGAGUACAAACCUAACAGACUAUUUACAAGAAUACCCUUACUAAUUUAUUAUCUAUAAGAAUACUAAUAUUCUCCUAACACUCCCCCUCAAGUUGGAGCAUAUAUAUCAUAAGCACCCAACUUGUUACAAAUAUAUUUCACCCUAGAGCCCCCUAAACUCUUAGUAAAUACAUCAGCCAAUUGAUCUACAGACGGUACAUGAGAUGUCUUGAUGACCCCGUCAAGCAAUUUCUCUCGAAUGAAAUGACAAUCAACUUCAAUAUGUUUUGUCCUUUCAUGAAACACUGGAUUAGACGCAAUAUGAACAGCCGCCUGAUUAUCACACACUAAAUUCAUAGGCUGUUUAUGUUCAAACCCAAGUUCCAGUAACAUGCUCUUCACCCAAACCAACUCACACACAGUGUGAGCCAUAGCGCGGUAUUCAGAUUCUGCACUUGAUCUGGAUACAACUGUUUGCUUCUUACUCUUCCACGACACUAAAUUACCACCAACAAACACACAAUAUCCUGUAGUCGAUCUUCGAUCUGAGGCAGAACCAGCCCAAUCUGCAUCACUAUAUCCUUCAAUAUCAUUGUGUCCAUGAUUUUGAUACAGCAACCCUUUUCCAGGAGCAUUUUUAAGAUACCUGAGAAUCCGUAUAACAGCAUCCCAAUGACUAGUACGAGGGGUAUCAAGAAAUUGACUCACAACACUCACUGCAAACGAAAUGUCAGGUCUCGUUACAGUGAGAUAAUUUAAUUUACCCACAAGUCUUCGAUAUUGCUUAGGAUCAUCAAGUAAUGCACCUUGAUCUCCUGCUAAUUUCACAUUGGGAUCCAUAGGAGUAUCCACAGGUCGGCAACCUAACAUCCCAACUUCACUCAACAUAUCGAGUACAUAUUUUCUUUGACAUAAAUAAAUCCCAUAUUUAGACCGAGCUACCUCAAUACCCAGAAAAUACUGUAGAUGACCUAAAUCCUUUGUCUGAAAGUUUGCCUGCAGAUUGGAUUUAAGUUUCUGAAUCCCCACAACAUCAUCACCUGUAAUCACAAUGUCAUCCACAUAAACAACUAAUAAAAUUUUACCAGCAUUAGAAUGCCGAUAAAAUACAGAGUGAUCUACUCCACAUCUUGUCAGACCGAACUCCAUGACAACACUACUAAACCGAUUCACAAGACAUACUUUGCUUGAUAAAAUACGGAGUGGAUUCAAAGAAAGUAACAUCAGCACAAGUAAAAAAUCGAUUUAAAACUGGACUGUAACAUCUAUACCCUUUUUGCGCUCGUGUAUAUCCUAAGAAAAUACACUUAAUAGCACGAGAAUCUAAUUUAUCCACCCCGGGAGCAAGCUGAUGAACAAAGCACACACAUCCAAAAAUACGAGGAGGCAAUUUAAACACAGAUUCAUGAGGAAAAAGAAUGGAGUGAGGUAAUUGACCUCCAAGAAUAUUAGAUGGCAUGCGAUUAAUUAAAUAACAUGCAGUUAGAAUUGCAUCACUCCAAAAUUGUUUGGGCACAUUCAUGUGCAACAAUAGUGUUCGAGCAAUUUCGAUUAAAUGCCCAAUUUUUCUUUCAGCAACUCCAUUCUGUUGUGGAGUGUGAGGACAAGAGGACUGAUGAAUAAUACCAGACUUAGUCAUAAAGGUAUUAAAAGGAGUGGAAAAAUAUUCUUUCGCAUUAUCACUGCGAAGUAUACGUACAGGCACACCAAAUUGAUUCUUUAUUUCUGUAACAAAUGCACAAAAAAUGGAAUAUAAUUCUGAACGAUCUUUCAUUAAAUAAAGCCAUGUAACUCUGGAAAAAUCAUCAACAAAGACUACAAAAUAUUUAAAACCUAACUUUGAAGUGACUCGACUAGGACCCCAAACAUCAGAAUGAACUAACAAAAAGGGUUCAGAAACCCGUUUAUUGACUUUAGGAGCAAAAGAAACACGAUGAUGCUUUCCUAACUGACAAGACUCACAUUCUAACGAAGAUAAUUGAUUCAAAGUAGGAACCAACUUUUUCAAAUUUUGUAAAGACGGAUGACCUAAACGACAGUGAAUUUCAAGAGGAGAAACAGUAGCAGGACAUGCUAUCGGACCAUUAAAGUUGAGAAAGUAAAGACCAUUAUGCUCAUGCCCUCCACCAAUCGUCCUCUUUGUCUUCAAAUCCUGAAUGACAACGGAAUCAGGAGAAAAAGUAACUGUACACUGUAGAAAUUUAGUGAGCUUACUAACAGACAUUAAAUUAAAUGGUAAAUUGGGUACGUAAAGAACAGAAGACAGCGGAAGUGAUGGAUUAAUUUCUACAGUGCCUAGUCCUUUAACUUUAGUGGUAGAUCCAUCAGCUAAAGUAACAUGAGGAAAGGGAGUAGACUCUUGAAAAUUAGAAAAAAUUUUAGAGGUACCUGACAUAUGAUCAGUAGCCCCGGAAUCAAUAAUCCAUGGGUCAUUACCUUUUUGUGCUAAAGAAGCAGAGGGAAGAGAUGCGUGAUUUGUAGCUUGGUACUGUAGGAAUUUAACAUAAUCUUCCUCAGAUAUAGUAACAGUUUUCUGGGACCCAUGUGUUGAAGAACUUGAUUCAACUUGGUCAGUGAUAACCGUAUUAACAAACCUUUCAACCAUAGCGAAUAGCACGUCAAACGAAAGAACGGGUCAAAACUUGAGACAAACGCGUGAACAGUAACGGCAUGAACAGUACUACGUGAACAGUAUCGGCGUGAACAGUGCCGUGAACAGUAUACGUGAACAGUGCCGCUAUGAACAGUGCGGCGUGAACAGUGAUUUGCUAGAUGUUUUACCCUAACCCUAGGACUUUUGCUCUGAUACCAUGUCAACAGGUAUCUUGGGAGGAAAACAUCUAGUCACACUAUUAUGAGUGACCAACUAGUAUUUAUAGGAGUACAAACCUAACAGACUAUUUACAAGAAUACCCUUACUAAUUUAUUAUCUAUAAGAAUACUAAUAUUCUCCUAACACACUUGAUUUACAGUUACUGGGUGUAUCACUACAUCUUUGCCCGAGGCAAUGGGCUAGGAUAGUCCAAUUAGAAGGUGGACAGUUGAGUGAGUAGGAUUCAGUGGUUAAAGGUACAAAUCUAGCUAAAUGGCUAGCAAAUAGGUUAAGCUUCAGAUGCCUAGAUGGUAUCAAGAGUGUGAUGCUGUUUAAUCAUAAGCAAGGAUCUCAAAGCUUUUGAUACAAGGAUUUUCCAUGAAACUAUAUAUAUAUGAGUACCAAUUUUGUUCUGUUCUGUGAUUGUCAAAUGCUAGCUUUUAAAUUUUGGAGGGGUAAAGGGGCCUUGCUGGAUAUGGGUUUACAUUGUUGACGGGGAUGAUAAGUAAAGGGGCCUUGCUGGAUAUGAGGAUGCAGAAUGUAAGAAGAAGCAGGGGUUUUCAAACUUUUCUCCGGGACUAUUGUUAUUAUUUGUAGUUUUAGCAUAUAUUUAGUUUAUUGGUGGUGCAUGCAGAGAGUUCUGUAGGAUCACGACCACCAAUAUUGUGCUGGCGACCUAAGAAAAAAUGCAUCUGCUGUCUGAGUUAUGCACAAGCAUGCAUCCUGCUACACGUACACAUUAUCAAAAUUGGCACAUAAUUUUAGAUGCUCUGGGAAAAGAAAGAAAGAAGAUAUCCUUUUGCUUUGGAUAUAUUUUGCAGGAAUUUUAUCUGUUGUGACAAAAGCCUGCGUUAAACUAAUAUAGGCAUACUAUUGUUGAUCCAAUGUCAGUCAUGAAUUGAACAGAAUAAUUAGAAGCAUAAGCAUUCAUCAUCAAUGUGUCUUUUUCCCACUUUGUAUUCAGGUCUUGACUGAUUGAGUAGAAAGUGGGAACUUUUCUUCUGUUUAUAAAAAUGCCAUUUGUAGUUGCACUCUUUCUUAAGAUACGCGCGCGGAGGUUUGUGCGGAAAGGAAUGUGCAUGCAAGCAACUUACCAUCCAUCAUGUGUAGGAUAAAAGGCUAGUUGCACUCAUGAUUUUUAUAGGAUAAAAGACCUCGAAGGAUACAUCAUAUGUAGCUCAUUAAAAACCAACUUACCAUAUGUAAGUUAGCAAGCCAAGAAGAAGGGAUUUAAUUCUAAAAUCCUCUUUGACUGUGGGUAGAAUGUUUGAAAUCUCGUGCUUACAGUUAAAAAAUUUCAGAGGAUGUGUGUGUUUCCUCUGAUUUAGAUGAGUCAUCUCCCUCUAGCCUCUCUCAUCAGUCAUUCCCAUCAAAAGUAAGAUGGAAGUUAUAACAUAUUAUCGUGUGUGACAAAAAUGGUGUAGGUCAUCACAUUAUUUAAGCUUUUAAGUGAAUGUGAUGCUUGUUUUUUUUUUUUUUUUUUUUUAAAGAUAAUUCGAUUGACCACAUAAAAAAAAAAGAUGGUCUUUUCUAUGGAUUUACAUGUGCAUUCUAUUUUUUUUGUUUAAAUGCUUUGAAAGAAUUGACAAAUUAAAUGGUUUCCAUUUGUAAUGAUUUUCAUCUUUGCAUGUAUGGUAGUCAGUGGCUAAAGCCUUUUUUUUCACCAAAAAAUAAGUACAAAUUUCAAUUUCAAAAAUAUUAUGUUAUUGAACAAGAAAAAAAAAACAUUUACUAUAGCAUAUAUGUAUUCAUUGUCUAGUUAGUUUAACAGUUAAAGUAACAUUUAUUAAUGUAACAUAUACUAACGUACCUCGGAAUUUUUCAGAGGGGGAAGCAACUGCCGCCCCCCCUCUCCAUUAACUUAUGAUUUCUGUUGCACAUAAACACUCCAGGAAAUUAACCAAUGGAUCCACGAUUAGUGACGCUAGCUUGUAUGCCACAAUGGAGACCACCAACUCUGCUGCAGAAAAGUCUUCAGAAAUUGAUAUUAUUGUACGACAUGACAUGAUAAACUAGAUAUAACAUUAAAUCCAUUUGCAAUCGCAUUAUGCAUCCUUUAGUCUGUUGGUGUAUUAGUACUUUUGGCAAUCUAUUCAUUCUGCAAUCUAUUUCUACUUCUUUCUGUAGUUUAUCAAUUAGCCAUUUAAACAUUAUUUUGUUUUCUAAACAAAUUUAUGCUUGUUAGUUUGACAGUCGUCUAUUAUUACUCCAUACACCACCACUCUCAUCUAAACUAAAAUUGAUGCCCCUCAUAAUGCAUUUUGCAUCAACCUCUCGAUCUUGCUUCUCAAUUUCAUUUCACAUUCCCAUGUACCUAAAAAGAGUGUUAUAGUACAAAUAAGAUUUACUUGUCAGAUUUGCAUAGCUCAUCAGGUCCCAAUCAAUUUCCUUCCAAUUCAGAAAAUAGUCCUCGAGAAUAUUUCUGAGUUAAAAAUCUCAGCCAAAGGUCGGCAGCUUCAGGAGCUGGAGAAGCUGGGCAAAAAGCAUAUUUAUCUUCAGAGAAAAACAAUCGGCGCAGCAGCACAUAGAUCUUAUUACCAAAAGGAAAGGUGUUUAUAGAUAUCUCCUUGAUAUUACAGUCCACCUACACAACACUGCAAGGAUGGUAACCUAAUUUGUACAACAUCUACCAGGAGAUUGAUUACUAAGAAAAAUAAGAGAACUCGGAAUAGACAACCCAAUCCCAAUCAGCAACACAAAGUAAACGGGAAACUUGAUCCUUCUGCUAAUUACAAACAAUGCUCUCAAAAUCCUUUUGCCUGCGUUGUACCAUU